UUAUCUCUGUAGAGUCUGCAUAUCAAUAAGCGGAGGAAAAGAAACUAACUAGGAUUCCCUCAGUAACGGCGAGUGAAGCGGGAAGAGCUCAAAUUUGAAAUCUUCAAGGUUCUACCUUGACGAAUUGUAGUUUAAAGAAGUGUCUUCUGUUGGAGUUUUGGUAAAAGUUCUUUGGAAUAGGACAUCAUAGAGGGUGAGAAUCCCGUAUUUGACCAUUAUUUCCAGCUUUGUGAUACACUUUCAAAGAGUCGGAUUGUUUGGGAAUGCAGUCCAAAAUGGGUGGUAAAUUUCAUCUAAAGCUAAAUAUUGGCGAGAGACCGAUAGCGAACAAGUACCGUGAGGGAAAGAUGAAAAGAACUUUGAAAAGAGAGUUAAACAGUACGUGAAAUUGUCAAAAGGGAAGCGUUUGACACCAGUGUUGUUUUCUCGAAAAUCAAUUAAAAAAGGCAGGAUUUUGUGUUGUAUUGACCUUAUAAGCUUUCUGCACUCUUUUUCAUGUCUUUUUUAAUGCACUUUUCGUUUAACAAGUCAACAUCAAUUUCUUUUGUUGUAAAAAGGGUCAUUGGAAGGUGGCUUUCUUUUCGGAGAAAGUGUUUAUAGCCUUUGACUUCUGCAAUCGGAGAGACUGAGGUCUGCAGCGUAGAUCCUUCUGGAUUAGAUUCAUUUGUGCUAAGUUACAACCGUUUAUAGACAACUUGUUGACUAUAUUCGAUCCUGUAGCUUACUCGCUUAUGUAAUUUUACCUACGCUUAGGAUGUUGAAGAUGUAGCACAUCAU
This 777-nucleotide ribosomal RNA is filed under the name uncultured Neocallimastigales. Its description in RNAcentral is "partial large subunit ribosomal RNA". It matches the Rfam family "Eukaryotic large subunit ribosomal RNA", at positions 24 to 635 of the family's 3401-position model. The record is from RNAcentral. Lineage: Eukaryota; Fungi; Neocallimastigomycota; Neocallimastigomycetes; Neocallimastigales.